Trichonephila inaurata madagascariensis is the source of this 76-nucleotide non-coding RNA. NCBI's taxonomy places the organism in Eukaryota, Metazoa, Arthropoda, Arachnida, Araneae, Nephilidae. The record is from the annotation of a GenBank genome assembly.
GGUUCCGUAGUGUAGUGAAAAGCUAUCACGUUCGCUUCUCAAGCGAAAAGGUCUCGGUUCGAUCCCGGACGAACCA